RNAcentral lists this ribosomal RNA (495 nucleotides) under uncultured bacterium. Its description in RNAcentral is "bacterial SSU rRNA". It matches the Rfam family "Bacterial small subunit ribosomal RNA", at positions 30 to 517 of the family's 1533-position model. The record is from RNAcentral.
AUUGAACGCUGGCGGCAGGCCUAACACAUGCAAGUCGAGCGGUAGAGAGAAGCUUGCUUCUCUUGAGAGCGGCGGACGGGUGAGUAAUGCCUAGGAAUCUGCCUGGUAGUGGGGGAUAACGUUCGGAAACGGACGCUAAUACCGCAUACGUCCUACGGGAGAAAGCAGGGGACCUUCGGGCCUUGCGCUAUCAGAUGAGCCUAGGUCGGAUUAGCUAGUUGGUGAGGUAAUGGCUCACCAAGGCGACGAUCCGUAACUGGUCUGAGAGGAUGAUCAGUCACACUGGAACUGAGACACGGUCCAGACUCCUACGGGAGGCAGCAGUGGGGAAUAUUGGACAAUGGGCGAAAGCCUGAUCCAGCCAUGCCGCGUGUGUGAAGAAGGUCUUCGGAUUGUAAAGCACUUUAAGUUGGGAGGAAGGGCAGUUACCUAAUACGUGAUUGUUUUGACAUUACCGACAGAAUAAAGCACCGGCUAACUCUGUGCCAGCAGCCG